This 71-nucleotide transfer RNA is filed under the name Tethya actinia. RNAcentral describes it as "tRNA-Met". It matches the Rfam family "tRNA". Rfam says of the family: Transfer RNA (tRNA) molecules are approximately 80 nucleotides in length. Their secondary structure includes four short double-helical elements and three loops (D, anti-codon, and T loops). Further hydrogen bonds mediate the characteristic L-shaped molecular structure. tRNAs have two regions of fundamental functional importance: the anti-codon, which is responsible for specific mRNA codon recognition, and the 3' end, to which the tRNAs corresponding amino acid is attached (by aminoacyl-tRNA synthetases). tRNAs cope with the degeneracy of the genetic code in two manners: having more than one tRNA (with a specific anti-codon) for a particular amino acid; and 'wobble' base-pairing, i.e. permitting non-standard base-pairing at the 3rd anti-codon position. The record is from RNAcentral. RNAcentral also lists the same sequence under 1 other name. Lineage: Eukaryota; Metazoa; Porifera; Demospongiae; Tethyida; Tethyidae.
UGUAAGGUAGACUAAUGGUUAGUUAUCAGGCUCAUGAUCUGGGGGUGUGGGUUCGAGUCCCACCCUUACUU